GGGGGGGGGGGGGGGGGGGGGGGGGGGGGGGGGGGGGGGGGGGGGGGGGGGGGGGGGGGGGGGGGGGGGGGGGGGGGGGGGGGGGGGGGGGGGGGGGGGGGGGGGGGGGGCGGCGCCGCCGCCGCCGCUUCGUGCCCGUCGCGCGAGAUUGACGCAAGCGCGCGGGAAGGGGAAGCGCCGGCGCGCGGUGAUGGCGUCACAGCGGGGGCGGGACGGGCGGAAGGGCCUGAAAGGAGCGGGAGCGGCGGGUGAGGGAAGGAUGCAGCUACACUCCGGCUGGGGAAAUAAAUGGCCUGCGAACCCUGCUCUGCAUAAUAAUAGUAACAGCAGCUGACAGAGCUUGACAGCGCAGCAGGCUGCAGCCUCCUCACGGGAAUUGCGGGCUCCCCCCGCCUCAGGUACAGCAUGCUGUUGUCUCCAGACUCAAGGGCAGGCUCUGCAGCACCAGCAGUUCCCACAUGGAGUUUCUGCAGUUCUGCUCACCGUGACCUUCUGGGCCACCAGGAAAACACAAUGAGGUGCUGCCGGCCUGGUGCGAUGAGCCGUCACUGCCCAGGACUCGCACCAGGCUUCCUGGGACACUGAGCUGCCGCUUGGGAUCCCGACCGCCUCUGAUUCCUCACUGUGCUGCUGGCAGGGUGGGACUGACGUGCAGUUUGGGGCACUGGGCAGAGCCAAGCCCGUCACCAUCCUCUGUGCCCUUGGCAGACUGGGGGACCAAGCUGGACCCUUCUCUCUAAAGGGGCUCCACGUGAGCAAGGGACCGGCUUGGGGCUGUCCAUAUUCACUCUGGUGGGAAGAGCCACCUCCUUCACCCUUUCCACCUGGGAACUGCGUCACUGCUGGGGAUGGUACCCCAUGGGUGCAGGGUGAGGCCAGCAGCCUGGCAGCAAGGCACUAGCUGAGCCUGAGCACAUCGCAGGGCAGAGCAGCCCCAGCACGGCCGCGCUGCAGGGAUGUAGGGGCCGGGCGCAGGAGGGUCCCGGCAGCGAUGGGCCGGCUGGACGACCAUGCCAAGAGGAGGAUCGUGGAGCUGCGCAGGGCUGGGCUGAGCUUCCGCAAGAUCAAGAAGGUGCUGGAGCUGGAUGACAUCCGGGUGACGCCACAGGCCGUGUACCUCUUCCUCAAGAGGAAGAGCGUGGAGCCAGGGUCAGUGGCAGCUGGCUGGGAUGGGGAGCAGCCCUGGCCUCCACUGCAGGGGCACGAGGCUGAGCCCCCCAGGCUGCUGGGCACCCGGCACCCUGCCCUGCCCACCGGGGAUCCUGUGGGCAGCCAGGCACCCCGCUCUGCUGGCAGCCAGGACACCAAGGAGAGCAUCCGCAUUGUUGGCGUGGCCUCACUCUGCGAGGACAGUGGGCGGCCUGGGGACACUCUGCCUGUGGGGCUGGCCCCUGGGAAUGGUGAUGAUAGCUCCACAGGCACAGCCCUGGCUCCAGGGACUGCUCUGGGGAGCCUGGCCCCCCUGCCCCAGCCACUGCCCAGCCGAGGGCAGCUGAUCACACCCCCCACCCAGAACUCAGCCCUGAUGGUGAAAAAGAAGAUUGUGGACAGAGCUAUCCUCUUGCAGAAAAAGGUCAAAGAUGUCAGCACUCAGACUGUCUUGCCAAAUCCCAUGGGUCCAGGAAAUAACAGCCUUGCUUGGGGAGGAGCAGUGCCCACCCCUGCUCCCAGCUCUCCAGCCAUGGCUGAGAAGCUGGACGCUGUGCAGAUGGAGGUGCAGAAGCUGAGGCAGGCCCUGCAGGCGGUGCUGGAGCGGCAGUGCCACCUGGAGCGCCAGCAGGAGCAGCAGCAGCGGCUGCAGCAGGAGGUGCUGAUGACGCUGCAGCAGCUCAGCUCCACCGUGAGCCACGGCGCCGUGCCAGCCACCCAGCCCUGCGGCCCCUUCGGCAGCAUGGGCGAGCCCUCACCCACCAUGCCAAACUUCAGCCAGUUCAAGAUGGAGCUGAUCUGAGCUCCUGCCAGGCCUGUGUGUGCCAGCAGUGUCGUGCUAAUGGCAGGAUGGAACCGGGAGGAAGAACCGUCUCUCAGAGGCUGCCCAAGGAUUGCAUGCAGCACCGAGCAGAUAAGGUGCCUAGUGCUCCGUCUUCCCAGCCAUGCUGCCUGGAAGGGGCUGUCUGGCACAGGAGGCUGGACAGUGGAAGCCUGAGGACUUGCUCCUCCUGUGCUGCUCAUCCUGGCUGGCACUGGAGCUGGCUGGGACCCAUGGACCUCAGCGGAAGACAGCUGCCUGCAAGGAAAAGAUGCAGCUGAGACAGACACAGCAGGAAUGUGGAACCUCAAGGAUACAGGUGGCUUCCUUCUCAUGAGGGUCAAUGCCAUGAUGAUCAAUCUUGCCCUCCCCUCCACAGAACCUUGUUCAGUAAAAAUCUGUCUAUGCCAAGGUUCAGAAUGAGUGUGGGAUUAGGAUCUGCAUUUUCCCUACCCCUCGCUUGGCCAGUGAGCAGGCAGGAUCUCUCUGGGGUUACUGUCACCAUACAUGGAACAGCACAGGGUGCAGAAACCCAUGAGGUGAAACCAGUGCUCCACACAUGCUGUUGUUGGAACCUCCGAUCAGCUGCUGCGCCGUUCGGGAUAGAUAAGACUGUGUAGGAAACAAUCUUUUACUGAGCAGAUUGCACCCUCCUCACCCCACAAACUCAGCAGAUCUGGAGUCUGGUACUGCUGCUCCCCACUGUCUGGCAAAAUAUGGGCAGGACCACACCAAUAAAAGUUGCACCCGGGCAGGAGCUGAUUAACUGGGUGUUCAGCUCUCCUCUAACCCAUUUUCCUGGGCAGGACACCUUCCUUCAUACACUACCUUCACCCCCCACCAAUUUGGUUUGUGAUCCCCAGUUGCAAGGGUUGUCCCUAGAGCAGGCUGCUAGUGGCACAGAGCUGCUGUAGCAGAGCAGGGCAUGAUGCUAAGAACCCCCUUGCCUGGAUGAGAAGGGCACAGGGGAGGCUGAUGUGUCCUCACUGAGCAAGAGUCCAGAAGGACCAGAGACUGGCCUUGCCUGCCAGGAGGAAAGGUCUGAUGCGAGUGGCCUUGGCUCAGCACCCAGCAGGGAGUCCUGAGAGGAGGCAGAGCACGUGUCCUUCCUCUGCACCAGCCAAGGCAGCUUCUGUCUGCACAGGCAGCAUGCUUGGCACAGCCUGUGCCUCUGUGAAGUCCCCAGCCUGUUUCUGAGGUCUCCUUGAGUCCGAGGUCAAAAUUAAGAAAGGUAAAAACCAGUUCAGGUGUUUGUACACACACACAUAGCCAAAAUUUAACACAAAUCAAAUGCAAGAGAGUCUUCAGGCUGUGACAGUUGAUUUUACCACCAUCCAAGGCUGGCAUGCAGCUAAUUUUCCCUCUGAGGCACUGUGGUUGUAACUGAGCUACUUUUAAAGUAAACUUUAUUUAAGAGUUGAGUGUACAUCCUUCCUAGCUGUCCACAACCUGGCUUCAGCAACAAAAAUUUUCCUUGUUUUCCUGGGAACAACUGUCCUUACAUUCCUAGGCUGGAUUAAACCAUGAUGUGCAGCUUUAUUCUAGGUCUGUACCUGUCAGUGAAAGAGCCGAAUGAGCAAAAAUGGUUCUCACUCACUUUCCCCCAAAGACCCUAAGCUCGUGCUCCUCCCAUGUCAAGGCUGACACACUGCUGGUGUUUGCUAGAUGCCAGAAGCUGCAUUCACAUAGACUCAGGAAGUGGAAGCACCCAGCCAUCCACUGCUGGAUCUCGAUUCCAAACCACUGCCUGCUGUAUGCAUUGCUGCCUCAGCUGCUAGAAAGGCUCUGCUCUAUUUAAAAGCAACAGAAGAAAGGGAAAAUCUCAUGGUAUAAAAGACAUAUUCUACAGUUAAUGUCAAUUCUACAGGAAAGAAAGCAGACCCUUCCAUACUGCUGACCCUUUCAAAGGUGCCUCUCUCCAGUGUUAGCACAGAGAAGCACUUAUGCAGGCUGAGUUUUGGGGUCAUAUGCACAGAAGGCAGAUCUGGUUUAAAUUUCUAGAUAAGGCACCCUAGAAGAGGACCAGAGAUUCACGCAUGACAUUUCCUACUGCACAGCAUAUUUCCACUGUUCUUCAGUUUACAGGAGAUCUGGCACAA
This 4068-nucleotide long non-coding RNA is filed under the name Ficedula albicollis (Collared flycatcher). Its description in RNAcentral is "lncRNA (ENSFALG00000016456.2)". The record is from RNAcentral. Lineage: Eukaryota; Metazoa; Chordata; Aves; Passeriformes; Muscicapidae.